Molecule: long non-coding RNA, 1947 nt
Filed under: Podarcis lilfordi (Lilford's wall lizard)
Lineage: Eukaryota; Metazoa; Chordata; Lepidosauria; Squamata; Lacertidae
Source: RNAcentral
AUAGCCAUGCCAGUGGGUGGUGGAGAUGGUUGGGAUUGCAGCUGGGGAGAGACAGCUUAUACCUAGCUGGGCAGCUUCCAACAAGUAAAACACAAUUCAAGCAGACAAAAUCUACGCAUGGAUGUGUGGGAGUCACAUGCCUACUACAAGGGAAGAAAGGAGGAGAACCAGCUUCAGUUCUGCACUUCUUGUUCUUCCUGCUACAAUCUAGAGAAGGUAUUUUACUCAUCUCAUUGACACUUCCUCUAUUGGCUCGCAUGGUGGGCUUAGCCCAGAACUGCAGCAUGAGGAAUCAGUUGAGUCAACACCUAACCAAACUGAUUCAAUAUUCUCUCCUCCUAUUUCUCUUCUGGAAAAUGGCGAGAAACAAAUAUUACAAAACGUCCAAGUCGCAACCGUUCGUACGGUCACGUUUGCAACACCGACAUAGCAUAUUUCCUAGGAAGUAGGUGCCUAUGAGCCCAGGGGGACUUUACUUCUGUGUAAAUCUGCAAUCCUAAUCCCGUUUACCUGCAACUGGGAGUAAAUGUCUCAGAAUUCAAUAUGACUUAAUUAAUGGCUGUGGUAGCAGAGCAACCCAUAAAUGCAAAGUUACUUAUACAUUGAGGGCAAGUGAGAAAUUGUAUGAGUUAAUUCUGAGUAGAUAUGGUUAGGACUGACUAAGAAAUGACUGUGUUAGUCAGCAUUUUAAUUAGCAAUAAUUUAAAGCAAAGCAAAACAACUUGUUUAUUAAGAUGACUUUGGGCACACCCAAAAGGGAUUGCUGAUUUUGCCGGGUCCCUUAUAACACCUUGAAGAGAGGCACAUCUUUAAAUUGGGAAAAAGGAGGAUGGGCAGGUCACAUGGUAGAGGACUGUCCCACUCCUUCCGUUCACCUGUGCAGCAUUUCCUAACAGAAGGGUAAAAGUGGGAUUAAUGCUACUAUCACGGUUGUGAUAAAUUACCAGUGUAACCACUCUGCAUGCAACUCCCAGCACUUUAUGAAACACUAUUUGCCACAACACCAGAUGGGAAGCAAAUUGUACGGUGGGGGGGGGGGAGAGUGAAGUAAUAAUGCUUUUCAGCUGGUGGCCACGGGCAAAGCAAGUAGAAAAACAGGACUUCAGUUUUGUACUUUCAGCCACACCCUCCCUUAGCAUGUCCUGGAUUGCAUUUUCGGUAAACAUCACCCAGAAUAAAUAAUGCAUGCUCCAAUUUACAUAAUCCUACGGGUCUUGGGAUGUGAGUGUGUCGUCGUCUCCCAGUUUUAUAAUUUUGUUAUAACUUGCAAAGAGCAGCGUGAAAAAGGAGUAGCAGUGAAACAAUGGCAGAGAAAGGUUUUGAGAAUACAGAAAAGUAGUUCACUGAAAGGGGGAAGAAGGGGGUGUAACAGAUUUAGGGAAACCAGGGAAUAAUGAUGAUGAUGAUGAUGUUUUAUUUAUAUCCCGCCCUCCCCAGCCAAGACCGGGCUCAGGGCGGCUAACACCAGGUACAGUGGUACCUCAGGUUAAGUACUUAAUUCGUUCCGGAGGUCCAUUCUUAACCUGAAACUGUUCUUAACCUGAAGCACCACUUUAGCUAAUGGGGCCUCCUGCUGCCGCCGCGCCGCCGGAGCACGAUUUCUGUCCUCAUCCUGAGGCAAAGUUCUUAACCCAAGAACUAUGGGGGGGAGGAAAGACAAUGUAUAUACUAUGAUCUCCUCAGUGGAAGAGGUUCUGCCUUGAAAGAGGGAUGAGAGUGUAGUUUGAAUACCCUCCAGGUUCCAUUUCAGGUCUUUUCUUCUUUUCUUCCAGUUGUGUGCUUGCAUACGAAACCAGAAGUGCAGGAGUCUUGAACCCCAUCGUUCAACCCAGACACUGAGGUCCAGUUCCGAGGGCUUUCUGGCGGUUCCCUCACUGCGAGAAGCGAAGUUACAGGGAACCAGGCAGAGGGCCUUCUCAGUAGUGGCGCCCGCCCUGUGGAACACCC